GACGUAGGUGGCGAACGUUAUCCGGAAUUAUUGGGCGUAAAGAGCGUGUAGGCGGUCAGGUAGGUCCGUUGUGAAAACUCGAGGCUCAACCUCGAGACGCCGAUGGAAACCAUCUGACUAGAGUCCGGAAGAGGAGAGUGGAAUUCCUGGUGUAGCGGUGAAAUGCGCAGAUAUCAGGAAGAACACCCGUGGCUAAGGCGGCUCUCUAGUACGGUACUGACGCUGAGACGCGAAAGCGUGGGGAGCGAACAGG
Molecule: ribosomal RNA, 253 nt
Filed under: uncultured bacterium
Lineage: Bacteria
Description: partial 16S ribosomal RNA
Rfam family: Bacterial small subunit ribosomal RNA
Source: RNAcentral